This 445-nucleotide ribosomal RNA is filed under the name uncultured bacterium. Its description in RNAcentral is "partial 16S ribosomal RNA". It matches the Rfam family "Bacterial small subunit ribosomal RNA", at positions 354 to 796 of the family's 1533-position model. The record is from RNAcentral.
GUGAGGAAUAUUGGUCAAUGGGCGAGAGCCUGAACCAGCCAAGUCGCGUGAAGGAAGAAGGAUCUAUGGUUCGUAAACUUCUUUUGCAGGGGAAUAAAGUGCGGGACGUGUCCUGUUUUGUAUGUACCCUGAGAAUAAGGAUCGGCUAACUCCGUGCCAGCAGCCGCGGUAAUACGGAGGAUCCGAGCGUUAUCCGGAUUUAUUGGGUUUAAAGGGUGCGUAGGUGGUUUGAUAAGUCAGCGGUGAAAGUUUGCAGCUUAACUGUAAAAAUGCCGUUGAAACUGUCGGACUUGAGUGUAAAUGAGGUAGGCGGAAUGCGUGGUGUAGCGGUGAAAUGCAUAGAUAUCACGCAGAACUCCGAUUGUGAAGGCAGCUUACUAAGCUACAACUGACACUGAAGCACGAAAGCGUGGGGAUCAAACAGGAUUAGAUACCCGGGUAGUCC